AUGAACGCUGGCGGCGUGCCUAAUACAUGCCAGUCGAGCGAACAGACGAGGAGCUUGCUCCUCUGACGUUAGCGGCGGACGGGUGAGUAACACGUGGAUAACCUACCUAUAAGACUGGGAUAGCUUCGGGAAACCGGAGCUAAUACCGGAUAAUAUAUUGAACCGCAUGGUUCAAUAGUGAAAGACGGUUUUGCUGUCACUUAUAGAUGGAUCCGCGCCGCAUUAGCUAGUUGGUAAGGUAACGGCUUACCAAGGCAACGAUGCGUAGCCGACCUGAGAGGGUGAUCGGCCACACUGGAACUGAGACACGGUCCAGACUCCUACGGGAGGCAGCAGUAGGGAAUCUUCCGCAAUGGGCGAAAGCCUGACGGAGCAACGCCGCGUGAGUGAUGAAGGUCUUCGGAUCGUAAAACUCUGUUAUUAGGGAAGAACAAAUGUGUAAGUAACUAUGCACGUCUUGACGGUACCUAAUCAGAAAGCCACGGCUAACUACGUG
RNAcentral lists this ribosomal RNA (496 nucleotides) under uncultured bacterium. Its description in RNAcentral is "partial 16S ribosomal RNA". It matches the Rfam family "Bacterial small subunit ribosomal RNA", at positions 29 to 507 of the family's 1533-position model. The record is from RNAcentral.